This 201-nucleotide ribosomal RNA is filed under the name Mesorhizobium sp. RNAcentral's name for it is "partial 16S ribosomal RNA". It matches the Rfam family "Bacterial small subunit ribosomal RNA", at positions 160 to 363 of the family's 1533-position model. The record is from RNAcentral. Lineage: Bacteria; Pseudomonadati; Pseudomonadota; Alphaproteobacteria; Hyphomicrobiales; Phyllobacteriaceae.
ACGCUAAUACCGCAUACGUCCUACGGGAGAAAGCAGGGGACCUUCGGGCCUUGCGCUAUCAGAUGAGCCUAGGUCGGAUUAGCUAGUUGGUGAGGUAAUGGCUCACCAAGGCGACGAUCCGUAACUGGUCUGAGAGGAUGAUCAGUCACACUGGAACUGAGACACGGUCCAGACUCCUACGGGAGGCAGCAGUGGGGAAUA